AUUGAACGGGAGCUCAUUGAAGAACUUAGGGCAAGAAAACCCAAAAUUAGCUGGAUAGAAAACAGGGUCCAUGAUUUUUGGGCCAGUACACAGAAUUAGUUAGUAUUGACCCGAAAAGAGAAAAGGGGUUAAAAGGUGAGCUAGAGCUGAAGGAAGAGAAGGGGAACGGUGAAGUUAAUUAGGGUUGAAAGGUGCCCUGCGAGGCGGUGGCAAGUGAGUAAACUAGGGUUGAAAGGUGCCCUGCGAGGCGGUGGCAAGUGAGUAAACGCAACCCAGUUAUGGAAUGGGAAUAAAUAUCCGAUCCUGAGACUAAUGAGUUUUUGAAUCUGUUUAGUGCGAGAACCAGUAUGGUUGGAUUGCUCAAGGUAGAAAUGAAUCAAUGAUGUCUUUAACGAGCAGAGAUGAUUUUAUCAUAUCAUUGUGCUGAGUUUCUUAUAACUUUUUAGUUUCAUUACCCCUCUCCCGCCCAGGUGCUGCGAAGCGAAGCUAUUAAGAUGUUAUGAUACCACUCUUCUGCAUUUGUUGUUGUAUAAAGUAUUCAACAGAAGCCACUAGUCCAAGUGACCAGCAGUCCAGCAGUAACUGCUGCAACCUGUUUGUUAUGUUCAUUCUCGAGAAAGUUGUACUAUAUCUAUAAAUUCUUUGUAAAUCACCCGAGACAGUGACCAAUUCUUUCAAUAUUCGACUUAUUUUGAUAAUCACCAAUUCACCAUCACACUCGUAAAAUUCACUUGCUAAUUCGCUUGUCCAGGUUUAAGUAAGGUUUGUAACAAUUCUUACUAGAGUGUAAAAUUUACAU
Arachis stenosperma is the source of this 799-nucleotide long non-coding RNA. RefSeq lists it as uncharacterized. Lineage: Eukaryota; Viridiplantae; Streptophyta; Magnoliopsida; Fabales; Fabaceae. The record is from RefSeq and is a predicted model, not a curated record. The transcript has 3 exons.